Molecule: unclassified non-coding RNA, 590 nt
Filed under: Bombus terrestris (buff-tailed bumblebee)
Lineage: Eukaryota; Metazoa; Arthropoda; Insecta; Hymenoptera; Apidae
Description: misc RNA ENSBTSG00005029047.1
Source: RNAcentral
ACGCAACGAGCUCCGAGGAUCAGCACAAGAAAUAGAUAGAUGCAACAAUUGUACGUGAUGCUACGUGUUUGCAAAUUGUUGGUCAUAGUCGCAAGAAGAAAUUGAAAUCGGUAUUUUAAAACUAAUAAUUUAUGCAUUUGAAGAUGUUGGGCUUGUAUACUAGCAUUCUUUAUCACUACUUUUUACUAUUAUUUUUUAAGAAAUUUCUAAUCUUGUAAGAAGAAAGGUGACGCAAGGAUUCUCCGCAACACUUCAAAUUUCCAAAUUGUCGGUCAUAGUUGCAAGAAGAAAUUGAAAUUGAAAGGAAACGCAAGGCGAGAACACGUAUUUGAAUGCAAUGAACUUCAAGGUGGUCUGGGCAACCUAGAAAUAGGAAAAAGGAACGAGACCCAAGACUUCAAAUAAUGUUAGAGUACUGGUGUGGAAGGGAUCUACAAUUCCAGAAAUUUGUUAAUCCUUUCUUUAACACUCUAUCGUAUUAUUUUCAUUGCAGAUAACCGAUAUGAUAAGGAAUUUUUAUCUUCGUCCGUGUUAUACCUAGAGUGUCUUGUAUUAUGCGCUUAGUAAUAAAAGAAUAGUGCAAUUUCUUU